GUGAAGCGGGAAGAGCUCAAAUUUGAAAUCUGGUAGCCUUCGGUUGCCCGAGUUGUAAUCUAGAGAAGUGUUUUCCGCGUUGGCCCAUGUACAAGUCCCUUGGAACAGGGCGUCAUAGAGGGUGAGAAUCCCGUCCUUGACAUGGACCCCCAAUGCUUUGUGAUACACUUUCAACGAGUCGAGUUGUUUGGGAAUGCAGCUCAAAAUGGGUGGUGAAUUCCAUCUAAAGCUAAAUAUUGGCGAGAGACCGAUAGCGAACAAGUACCGUGAGGGAAAGAUGAAAAGCACUUUGGAAAGAGAGUUAAACAGUACGUGAAAUUGUUGAAAGGGAAACGAUUGAAGUCAGUCAUGCUCUUUGGAUUAAGCCGUUCUGCGGUGUAUUUCAUUGAGCGGGGUCAACAUCAGUUUUGAUCGCUGGAAAAGGGCAGGAGGAAGGUAGCACUCUCGGGUGAACUUAUAGCCUCUUGUCGUAUACAGUGAUUGGGACUGAGGAACGCAGCAUGCCUUUUGGCCGGGAUUCGUCCACGUACAUGCUUAGGAU
This 541-nucleotide ribosomal RNA is filed under the name Naganishia globosa. RNAcentral describes it as "partial large subunit ribosomal RNA". It matches the Rfam family "Eukaryotic large subunit ribosomal RNA", at positions 93 to 628 of the family's 3401-position model. Lineage: Eukaryota; Fungi; Basidiomycota; Tremellomycetes; Filobasidiales; Filobasidiaceae. The record is from RNAcentral.